RNAcentral lists this ribosomal RNA (322 nucleotides) under uncultured eukaryote. RNAcentral's name for it is "partial 18S ribosomal RNA". It matches the Rfam family "Eukaryotic small subunit ribosomal RNA", at positions 1470 to 1796 of the family's 1831-position model. The record is from RNAcentral.
CCCUUAGAUGUUCUGGGCCGCACGCGUGCUACACUGAGUAAUUCAAUGGGUAAGGGAACGCUAGAGCAUUACCUAAUCUUGAAAUUUGUUCGUGAUGGGGAUCGACGGUUGCAAUUUUCCGUCGUGAACGAGGAAUACCUUGUAGGCGCAUGUCAUCAUCAUGCGCCGAAUACGUCCCUGCCCUUUGUACACACCGCCCGUCGCUCCUACCGAUUGAGUGAUCCGGUGAGGCUCUGGGACCUGGACGGAAAGAGCGUUUCGCUUGUUCUGUUUGGGAAACUUGGUCGAACCUUAUCAUUUAGAGGAAGGAGAAGUCGUAACA